GAAGGCAGGGGUAGCAAGGCGGAGCUGUGCCCUGUCACGGCACACAGAGAAUGCCCAUGGAUUUUCACAAAUGCUGUUAAAAUGUGAAAAGAAGGUGUUUCUUUUUUCUUCAAUCUGAGCUUCAAGCUAAUAUGGGCAUUCAGCUAAAUCCCUCCUGGGUCCUGAAACAGUAUGUGGUUUUGGAUUUCAAAGAUAAUCCCUACAACUUCUGGGAGAGGUGCAAGUAUCAACCAGUUGGAGACACAGGGAAAGGGUGAUAUAAUGCAGAAAGUGACUUGAACAAAUUUACACAGAAGGCAGUGAAGUGUGAUUCAAAUUCAAGCAGUCUAGACUGUGCCCCACACAACUCUGCAGCAUAACCUUGCAGUAUGAAAAUAAUGCCUCUCAUGCAGCCAAAUGAAAAUGGCCCCAUCAAAGUGCAAGUGCUCACUAAAUAUUCGUUAAAUGAAAGAAUUAAAUAGAAAAAGCUACCAUUUAAAAACAUUAUCACAAUGCUAAAAAUAUGUUGAUUUAUAAGAUCUCAUUAAGUUCAUGCAAUUAAAGCAACCAUUAUCCUCAUUUUACAGAUCAGGGAUAUGAGAUCCAGUGACUUACCCAAAGUUUCAAAGGAAAGAUGUAACAGAGCCAUCUCUGAACUUCUGCUCUUGGGAAUCUACACACUCUUUCCACUAGUUCUGACCUUAGCAG
Long non-coding RNA from Homo sapiens (human), 687 nucleotides. Ensembl annotates it as long intergenic non-protein coding RNA 1440. The record is from Ensembl. Lineage: Eukaryota; Metazoa; Chordata; Mammalia; Primates; Hominidae.